GCGGUUCGCCGCCGACGACGUCGCGAGAAGUCCACUGAACCUUAUCAUUUAGAGGAAGGAGAAGUCGUAACAAGGUUUCCGUAGGUGAACCUGCGGAAGGAUCAUUGUCGAGGACCGAACGAGAGGGUAGACCCGCGAACAUAGUGACCCGCGCAAAUCGGGAGGGGGCGGGGGCGCGGCUGCCCCCGUCGAAGCGCCGGCGUGAGGCCGGCGAUCCCUCCCGCCGCGGCACCGGCGCUAGGCCGGGCGCGGAGAACACGACCGAGGCACCCACGGCGCGAUUGGCGCCAAGGACCAGAAGAGGAGCGAGGGAGGUGGACGACGGGAGGCGCUUCCGGGCGCCCCGUCGGCCCCCUCUCGCCGCGAGAGGGACUCGAAAAGAACGGACGACUCUCGGCAACGGAUAUCUCGGCUCUCGCAUCGAUGAAGAACGUAGCGAAAUGCGAUACUUGGUGUGAAUUGCAGAAUCCCGCGAACCAUCGAGUCUUUGAACGCAAGUUGCGCCCGAGGCCACCCGGCCGAGGGCACGCCUGCCUGGGCGUCACGCACCGCGCUGCCCGCACCCAGCUCGGGUCGCGGGCGGAAACUGGCCGACCGUGCGCUCCGGCGCGCGGCGGGCUGAAAGCCAUCGAGUGCCCCCCGGAGGGGUGUCGGCACGGCGUUGGGUGGUCAUGAGGGCUCUCGGAGCCGCUCCGAUCGGACGCCGCGUUCGCCGCCCGCCCCGAGGGGGACCAAGGCGCCCCAGACGACCGCGUCGCGACCCCAGGUCAGGCGGGGCCACCCGCCGAGUUUAAGCAUAUAAAUAAGCGGAGGAGA
RNAcentral lists this ribosomal RNA (816 nucleotides) under Asimina reticulata. RNAcentral's name for it is "eukaryotic LSU rRNA". The stretch from base 389 to 544 matches the Rfam family "5.8S ribosomal RNA". Lineage: Eukaryota; Viridiplantae; Streptophyta; Magnoliopsida; Magnoliales; Annonaceae. The record is from RNAcentral.